UGGGGAAUUUUGCACAAUGGGGGAAACCCUGAUGCAGCGACGCCGCGUGAUUUAGAAGGCCUUCGGGUUGUAAAAAUCUUUUCUAUGGGAAGAAAAUGACAGUACCAUAGGAAUAAGGACCGGCUAAUUACGUGCCAGCAGCCGCGGUAAUACGUAAGGUCCGAGCGUUGUCCGGAAUCAUUGGGCGUAAAGGGUACGUAGGCGGUUAAGCAAGUUAGAAGUGAAAUCCUAUAGCUCAACUAUAGUAAGCUUUUAAAACUGCUCAUCUUGAGGUAUGGAAGGGAAAGUGGAAUUCCUAGUGUGGCGGUGAGAUGCGCAGAUAUUAAGAGGAAUACCGGUGGCGAAGGCGACUUUCUGGCCAUAACCUAACGCUGAGGUACGAAAGCGUGGGUAGCUAACAGG
Molecule: ribosomal RNA, 402 nt
Filed under: bacterium
Lineage: Bacteria
Description: partial 16S ribosomal RNA
Rfam family: Bacterial small subunit ribosomal RNA
Source: RNAcentral